This is a long non-coding RNA of Xenopus laevis (African clawed frog), 310 nucleotides long. RefSeq lists it as uncharacterized. The record is from RefSeq and is a predicted model, not a curated record. The transcript is spliced from 3 exons. NCBI's taxonomy places the organism in Eukaryota, Metazoa, Chordata, Amphibia, Anura, Pipidae.
AGCAUACAUAUUGAUCAACACUGGACUUCCCAUCACAACAUGGAAACAUGGAAACAUGCAGUAUACAGUAUAGUAGUGGAAAAAACUCAGCAGCCUAUUUAUAUCUAAAGGACAAUGGGAAUCCUUUUGAACAAUAUGCAUAUUUUGGGACCGAGAAAAAGAAGAUGGUUUGAAAUAUGUGUGAAGCAGACCAUUUAUGACAAAAUGGAACAGCCAUCCCUAAACAAAGUAGGGGGUUAUGACAUCACCUAUUAGCAAGUCCCAUGAGCUUUACAUGCAGGAUAAGAGAAAAAUACUGAGUGACUAGGAA